RNAcentral lists this ribosomal RNA (535 nucleotides) under Fusarium borneense. RNAcentral describes it as "partial large subunit ribosomal RNA". It matches the Rfam family "Eukaryotic large subunit ribosomal RNA", at positions 66 to 624 of the family's 3401-position model. The record is from RNAcentral. Lineage: Eukaryota; Fungi; Ascomycota; Sordariomycetes; Hypocreales; Nectriaceae.
CAACAGGGAUUGCCCCAGUAACGGCGAGUGAAGCGGCAACAGCUCAAAUUUGAAAUCUGGCUCCAGGGCCCGAGUUGUAAUUUGUAGAGGAUGCUUUUGGUGAGGUGCCUUCCGAGUUCCCUGGAACGGGACGCCACAGAGGGUGAGAGCCCCGUCUGGUUGGACACCGAGCCUCUGUAAAGCUCCUUCGACGAGUCGAGUAGUUUGGGAAUGCUGCUCUAAAUGGGAGGUAUAUGUCUUCUAAAGCUAAAUACCGGCCAGAGACCGAUAGCGCACAAGUAGAGUGAUCGAAAGAUGAAAAGAACUUUGAAAAGAGAGUUAAACAGUACGUGAAAUUGUUGAAAGGGAAGCGCUUGUGACCAGACUUGGGCUUGGUUGAUCAUCCGGGGUUCUCCCCGGUGCACUCUUCCGGCCCAGGCCAGCAUCAGUUCGCCCUGGGGGAAAAAGGCGCCGGGAACGUGGCUCCCUCCGGGGAGUGUUAUAGCCCGGUGCGUAAUACCCUGUGGCGGACUGAGGUUCGCGCAUUCGCAAGGAU